UCAACGAAAGAAUUAACACCAACAGAUCGAACCUGAAGGCCUCUAGGGUUUCCCCAUACCGAACGUAGAGCAUUAGCUAUGAUUUGGAUGUGGAUUUGGUUCCGAUACAAGACCUUCCCAGCUAGAAGCCACUUCCGCGGUCCUUCCACUCGAUCAUCAAUAAUCAGAGGAAUCGCCUGACCCCUCUUCCGAAAUAUUGAGCUUUCCCA
Molecule: long non-coding RNA, 209 nt
Filed under: Hordeum vulgare
Lineage: Eukaryota; Viridiplantae; Streptophyta; Magnoliopsida; Poales; Poaceae
Description: long non-coding RNA (HVUL_LNC017146)
Source: RNAcentral